UACGUAGGGGGCAAGCGUUGUCCGGAUUUAUUGGGCGUAAAGAGCGUGUAGGCGGCUAUACAGGUCCGCUGUGAAAACUCGAGGCUCAACCUCGAGACGUCGGUGGAAACCGUAUGGCUAGAGUCCGGAAGAGGAGAGUGGAAUUCCUGGUGUAGCGGUGAAAUGCGCAGAUAUCAGGAAGAACACCUAUGGCGAAGGCAGCUCUCUGGGACGGUACUGACGCUGAGACGCGAAAGCGUGGGGAGCGAACAGG
This 253-nucleotide ribosomal RNA is filed under the name uncultured bacterium. RNAcentral describes it as "partial 16S ribosomal RNA". It matches the Rfam family "Bacterial small subunit ribosomal RNA", at positions 524 to 776 of the family's 1533-position model. The record is from RNAcentral.